GACGAACGCUGGCGGCGUGCUUAACACAUGCAAGUCGAACGGAAAGGCCCUGCUUUUGUUGGUUUCUCGAGUGGCGAACGGGUGAGUAACACGUGAGUAACCUGCCCUUGACUUUGGGAUAACUUCACGAAACUGGGGCUAAUACCGGAUAGGAGCUCCUGCUGCAUGGGGGUGGUUGGAAAGUUUCGGCGGUUGGGGAUGGACUCGCUGCUUAUCAGCUUGUUUGUGUAGUUGGUGCUUACCAAGGCUUUGACGGGUAGCCGGCAUUAGAGGGUUGCCGGCCACAUGGGGCCUAAGAUACGGACCAGACUCCAAUGGGAGGCAGUAGUGGGGAAUAUUGCGCAAUGAGCGGACGCCUGAUGCAGAAACGCCGCGUGCGGGAUGACGGCCUUCGGGUUGUGAACCGAUUUCGCAUGUGCCGAAGAGUGAGUGACGGUAAUGAGUAAAGAAGCAACGGCUAACUACGUG
Molecule: ribosomal RNA, 468 nt
Filed under: uncultured bacterium
Lineage: Bacteria
Description: partial 16S ribosomal RNA
Rfam family: Bacterial small subunit ribosomal RNA
Source: RNAcentral